ACAGAGAGUUUCCACACUGCACCUCACACACACACACACACACACACACCUGAGAGAGCUGGACCUGAGAUACAAUCACCCAGGAGACUCAGGAGUGAGAGCGCUGUCUGCUGCUAAACUGGACACACUCACACUGCUUGUGGACCAUGGAGGAGAGAACAGGACCAAACCAGGACUGAGGAAAUACGGCUGUCAGCUCACACUGGAUCCAAACACAGCGCACAGAGAGCUGUCUCUGUCUGAGGGGAACAGGAGGGUGACACACACACCGGG
Long non-coding RNA from Anguilla rostrata (American eel), 273 nucleotides. RefSeq lists it as uncharacterized. Lineage: Eukaryota; Metazoa; Chordata; Actinopteri; Anguilliformes; Anguillidae. The record is from RefSeq and is a predicted model, not a curated record. The transcript is spliced from 3 exons.